This 121-nucleotide small nucleolar RNA is filed under the name Haliaeetus albicilla (white-tailed eagle). Lineage: Eukaryota; Metazoa; Chordata; Aves; Accipitriformes; Accipitridae. The record is from RNAcentral.
UUGCCCUGUUCGUAACCCCUUGACAGCAUAUUUCUGUGAAUAGGUUCCAUUCCAGUGCUACAUGAAAUCCAAUAAUGGAAGGCUGACAAAUUCCAUGCCCAUUCUGUAUUUGGAGACAAAA